CCAAUAGCGUAUAUUAAAGUUGUUGCAGUUAAAAAGCUCGUAGUUGAAUUUCGGGGUUAGUAGGUUGGUCAUGCCUCCGGUAUGUACUGGUCUCACUGAUUCCUCCUUCCUGAUGAGCCGUAAUGCCAUUACUUUGGUGUUGCGGGGAAUUUGGACUGUUACUUUGAAAAAAUUAGAGUGUUUAAAGCAAGCUAACGCUUGAAUACAUUAGCAUGGAUUAAUGAAAUAGGACGUUCGAUCCUAUUUUGUUGGUUUCUAGGAUUGACGUAAUGAUUAAUAGGGAUAGUUGGGGGCAUUAGUAUUCAAUUGUCAGAGGUGAAAUUCUUGGAUUUAUUGAAGACUAACUACUGCGAAAGCAUUUGCCAAGGAUGUUUUCAUUAAUCAAGAACGAAAGUUAGGGGAUCGAAGACGAUCAGAUACCGUCGUAGUCUUAACCAUAAACUAUGCCGACUAGGGAUCGGAUGAUGUUAAUUUUUUAAUGACUCAUUCGGCGCCUUACG
This 500-nucleotide ribosomal RNA is filed under the name uncultured Glomeromycotina. Its description in RNAcentral is "partial small subunit ribosomal RNA". It matches the Rfam family "Eukaryotic small subunit ribosomal RNA", at positions 591 to 1092 of the family's 1831-position model. The record is from RNAcentral. Lineage: Eukaryota; Fungi; Glomeromycota.